AUACCUUUCUCGGCCUUUUGGCUAAGAUCAAGUGUAGUAUCUGUUCUUAUCAGUUUAAUAUCUGAUAUGUGGGCCAAUGGUCCACACGAUAUUAAAUUUAUUUUUUGAGGGGGAGAGUCGAUUACAAUAGCUUGCUAUUGGGUCUCUUGAGUGUCGCCCAUGUGUUGCACUACAACAUGGGCUUGGCGCACCCCAC
RNAcentral lists this small nuclear RNA (196 nucleotides) under Cicer arietinum (chickpea). Its description in RNAcentral is "U2 spliceosomal RNA". It matches the Rfam family "U2 spliceosomal RNA". Rfam says of the family: U2 is a small nuclear RNA (snRNA) component of the spliceosome (involved in pre-mRNA splicing). Complementary binding between U2 snRNA (in an area lying towards the 5' end but 3' to hairpin I) and the branchpoint sequence (BPS) of the intron results the bulging out of an unpaired adenosine, on the BPS, which initiates a nucleophilic attack at the intronic 5' splice site, thus starting the first of two transesterification reactions that mediate splicing. Lineage: Eukaryota; Viridiplantae; Streptophyta; Magnoliopsida; Fabales; Fabaceae. The record is from Rfam by way of RNAcentral.